RNAcentral lists this ribosomal RNA (863 nucleotides) under Staphylococcus aureus. RNAcentral's name for it is "partial 23S ribosomal RNA". It matches the Rfam family "Bacterial large subunit ribosomal RNA", at positions 384 to 1254 of the family's 2925-position model. The record is from RNAcentral. Lineage: Bacteria; Bacillati; Bacillota; Bacilli; Caryophanales; Staphylococcaceae.
AAUGUUGUCUCUCUUGAGUGGAUCCUGAGUACGACGGAGCACGUGAAAUUCCGUCGGAAUCUGGGAGGACCAUCUCCUAAGGCUAAAUACUCUCUAGUGACCGAUAGUGAACCAGUACCGUGAGGGAAAGGUGAAAAGCACCCCGGAAGGGGAGUGAAAUAGAACCUGAAACCGUGUGCUUACAAGUAGUCAGAGCCCGUUAAUGGGUGAUGGCGUGCCUUUUGUAGAAUGAACCGGCGAGUUACGAUUUGAUGCAAGGUUAAGCAGUAAAUGUGGAGCCGUAGCGAAAGCGAGUCUGAAUAGGGCGUUUAGUAUUUGGUCGUAGACCCGAAACCAGGUGAUCUACCCUUGGUCAGGUUGAAGUUCAGGUAACACUGAAUGGAGGACCGAACCGACUUACGUUGAAAAGUGAGCGGAUGAACUGAGGGUAGCGGAGAAAUUCCAAUCGAACCUGGAGAUAGCUGGUUCUCUCCGAAAUAGCUUUAGGGCUAGCCUCAAGUGAUGAUUAUUGGAGGUAGAGCACUGUUUGGACGAGGGGCCCCUCUCGGGUUACCGAAUUCAGACAAACUCCGAAUGCCAAUUAAUUUAACUUGGGAGUCAGAACAUGGGUGAUAAGGUCCGUGUUCGAAAGGGAAACAGCCCAGACCACCAGCUAAGGUCCCAAAAUAUAUGUUAAGUGGAAAAGGAUGUGGCGUUGCCCAGACAACUAGGAUGUUGGCUUAGAAGCAGCCAUCAUUUAAAGAGUGCGUAAUAGCUCACUAGUCGAGUGACACUGCGCCGAAAAUGUACCGGGGCUAAACAUAUUACCGAAGCUGUGGAUUGUCCUUUGGACAAUGGUAGGAGAGCGUUCUAAGGGCGUUGAA